GCGCGGGUGAUGGAACUGGUAGACAUAGCAGACUUAAAAUCUGCCGGCUUCGGCCGUACGGGUUCGAGUCCCGUCCUGCGCACCA
Molecule: transfer RNA, 85 nt
Filed under: Sterolibacterium denitrificans
Lineage: Bacteria; Pseudomonadati; Pseudomonadota; Betaproteobacteria; Nitrosomonadales; Sterolibacteriaceae
Description: tRNA-Leu
Rfam family: tRNA
About the family: Transfer RNA (tRNA) molecules are approximately 80 nucleotides in length.
Source: RNAcentral